GACGAACGCUGGCGGCGUGCUUAACACAUGCAAGUCGAACGGAAAGGCCCUGCUUUUGUGGGGUGCUCGAGUGGCGAACGGGUGAGUAACACGUGAGUAACCUGCCCUUGACUUUGGGAUAACUUCAGGAAACUGGGGCUAAUACCGGAUAGGAGCUCCUGCUGCAUGGUGGGGGUUGGAAAGUUUCGGCGGUUGGGGAUGGACUCGCGGCUUAUCAGCUUGUUGGUGGGGUAGUGGCUUACCAAGGCUUUGACGGGUAGCCGGCCUGGGAGGGUGGCCGGCCACAUUGGGACUGAGAUACGGCCCAGUCUCCUACGGGAGGCAGCAGUCGGGAAUAUUGCACAAUGGGCGGAAGCCUGAUGCAGCAACGCCGCGUGCGGGAUGACGGCCUUCGGGUUGUAAACCGCUUUCGCCUGUGACGAAGCGUGAGUGACGGUAAUGGGUAAAGAAGCACCGGCUAACUACGUG
Molecule: ribosomal RNA, 468 nt
Filed under: uncultured bacterium
Lineage: Bacteria
Description: partial 16S ribosomal RNA
Rfam family: Bacterial small subunit ribosomal RNA
Source: RNAcentral